GAUUUCUUGUGAUAUGUUUAUCAAUAAUGUUCUUUCUUUUAAUUGGAGCAAAAAAAUAGAUUUAAUUUGUCAAUGUACUAAUGUUGCAACUCUAAUUUGGAAUAGUUUCUUUUACUAAUGGUUUCUUGUUCGAUGAGCAUGAUUAAUGAAAUAGUUAUGAAGCAAACUUUCGUGCCAUCCUGUCCACUUUCUAAGUGGGGCACCUCUACCUAUCAAGCGGUUGGUUUUGUCAAUUUUAACCAUGAAACAAUUCUCAUCCAACUCAAAUUUGUUUUUUAUGGUCAAGUGUGGUGCUGUCCCCCCGUUGGUAGGCAGCCUAGCAUAUAUGUAGAGGGCCUCAUAAUUAUUGAAAGUAUAUAGAGGACCUCAUAGUAGUCUAUGGCCAAGCGUGGAAAUAGAUGGCCUCGUAGUGGUCAAUAUUAGUCUUCACCUCUUUGGCCAUUGUAGAUAAUAAUCGUUGCCAUCUUAUAUUAGUAACCCCUCUAUCUUUUGUCGAUGUUUAUCAAUAAGGGGUAGCAUCUUUUUUCCUCUAUGUUGGACUUAUUUUUGAAGUUGGCUUAUCUCAUAUCGACGUUUGGUAGGAUAGUGGCAAUAUUGUACAAAUAGCACCCCAUGAUUGGGUUAUAUUUUUUGGGAAAAAUUACACUCUAAAAAAUUCAAAAUUUAGAUUCAUAUAAAAGGGUAAGGUUUCCCUUUUACAAUCACUUUUCCUGUUGUAAAACUACUUGCUUUUUCG
RNAcentral lists this long non-coding RNA (736 nucleotides) under Olea europaea subsp. europaea. The record is from RNAcentral. Lineage: Eukaryota; Viridiplantae; Streptophyta; Magnoliopsida; Lamiales; Oleaceae.